This is a long non-coding RNA of Populus euphratica (Euphrates poplar), 814 nucleotides long. RefSeq lists it as uncharacterized. The transcript is spliced from 2 exons. The record is from RefSeq and is a predicted model, not a curated record. Lineage: Eukaryota; Viridiplantae; Streptophyta; Magnoliopsida; Malpighiales; Salicaceae.
CAAAUAAAAACAUAAUAACAAUAUGGGCUCAGAAAUGCUCAAUCCUUCCAUCCGGGUUGUAUUAUCCUCCAUCAUUUCCAUCCAAACAUGUGUAAUCUAUGGCAUGGGUACGAUGUCCCGUCAAAGAACCACUCAUCGCUUUCUCUAAUUUUAUCUUCUCGCUUCAUGAGCUUCCCAAGUGUUUUCCGUUGCAUCUUUGGCCACUGUCAAGAUGCAGCGUGUAGAAGGGUCAAUUUACUUCAUCCAAGGCUGAUUCUCAUGAAGGGACUCAGCUGCUUCUGGCUGCGGUGCAACGCAGGGUUCUGGACAAGAUGAUAGCAUGCUGGAAACUUUGCGAGUGGUGAUUCAUUUUUUUAAUCCACAAGCAUCCUUUUUUUAACAGUGUCAUUUCCAAAAAAAAAAAGGGGUGAAAAUCCUGCAUAAGAAAGAUCUUUUUCCUGAUGCUUUAUGCCGAUGGACUCAUUGCAGAAUCGGUUCAAAGUCCACUCCGGUGAUGCAUCGUGGGCCAGCUGGUCCAAGAACUCUUUGUAAUGCAUGUGGACUCAAGUGAGCCAUCAAGGCGUGGAAACUUCUCGGUGUCCCUCUAAUUUAAUUUGUGAACUUACUGCAGGGUAGUGGCCGCAGACAUAGUCUCUCCUUCUAAUGGUGAUAACUCUGCUGAAAAGGGAGAUGAUAUAUAGUUGUUUCCCUUGAAGCGAUUUCCAUUUUCUAUUAGAAAGCAGAUGCCAAACAGUCCAUCAACUUCUUGUGAAAUAACACCCAGCUUCUCUCUGACCAAAUUGUACAUAUAUAUGAAUCAGCACCUUCGAUCGUA